Molecule: small nucleolar RNA, 135 nt
Filed under: Cercocebus atys (sooty mangabey)
Lineage: Eukaryota; Metazoa; Chordata; Mammalia; Primates; Cercopithecidae
Description: Small nucleolar RNA SNORA48 (ENSCATG00000017362.1)
Rfam family: Small nucleolar RNA SNORA48
About the family: The snoRNA ACA 48 has been identified to guide pseudouridylation of the residue U3797 in the 28S rRNA subunit. Its host gene EIF4A1 (eukaryotic translation initiation factor 4A1) is shared with U67 and snoRNA mgU6-77
Source: Rfam by way of RNAcentral
UGUCCUUGACUUGGGUAAAAAAAAAAAAGUUUGGUGCUGCCUAUCUCAUAUAAGCCAGGGAUGAAUCAAUGCCUUAUUAAAAAAAAAAAGGCUUUUGGUCUGUGCCCAUACCUGGUUUAUGCCUUGGACACAUGG